RNAcentral lists this ribosomal RNA (263 nucleotides) under uncultured bacterium. Its description in RNAcentral is "partial 16S ribosomal RNA". It matches the Rfam family "Bacterial small subunit ribosomal RNA", at positions 29 to 289 of the family's 1533-position model. The record is from RNAcentral.
AUUAACGCUAGCGGCAGGCAUAAUACAUGCAAGUUGAACGGCAGCACAGGUAGCAAUACCGGGUGGCGAGUGGCGCACGGGUGCGUAACACGUAUGCAACCUACCCUAUACAGGCGAAUAACCUUUAGAAAUGAGGGCUAAUACGCUGUGGUAUUAUCUUGGGGCAUCUUGAGAUAAUUAAAGAUUUAUCGGUAUAGGAUGGGCAUGCGUCCCAUUAGUUAGUUGGUAGGGUAACGGCCUACCAAGGCUAUGAUGGGUAGGGG